Long non-coding RNA from Xenopus laevis (African clawed frog), 1424 nucleotides. RefSeq lists it as uncharacterized. The record is from RefSeq and is a predicted model, not a curated record. The transcript has 2 exons. Lineage: Eukaryota; Metazoa; Chordata; Amphibia; Anura; Pipidae.
ACACCAGGAAUCACUGUAUCAGUAAAAAUAUUAACGCAACAUCAAGAACAGUACAUGGAAUCCAAAUUGGCAAAAGAUAAUUGCGUGAAAUAACAAGAACUUGAUGAUAUGCAGAACAGAGUUCUAAAGUCUACUGAACAACUGAAGAGGGAGGAAGAACAUAUUUUACAUGUUUUAGGAAAUUAAUGUGAAGCGAUGGAGGACUAUACUGGUGAAGAAGAAGCAAGUUCAGAAGAAAACUUUGCAGUCCCUUGGAUGCCUCAUCCUUUUUCGUUAUUACUGAUUCCUUCUACUGCAGCAAGCACUAUUUCAAGAAACACUGAGCCUAUAAACAAGAUGAAAUUCCAUGAUUCCAAAACAUCUGCAACCACUGUAUGCUUUUUGAAAAUUAAUAUAUUAUGUUUAUAAUUUAUUGACUAUAGUCUUACAGUAUAAUUAAAAAACCCAGCAGUCACAGGAAAUGAGGACAACCCAAUCUUUAAAUGGACCAUGGAUAUCCCCGACGUAACACAAUCAGAUAUUUUAAGCUAUCACUCGAGAGUAAUGAAGCUACUCCCAGCGAGCAGAUAUCAAGAGAUGUCCCUCCAAAUUUUACACAACUCCUAUCUUACCCCCCUUAGAAGACAUAAAAUGGGAAAUCUCUCCUCUGACAACUGUCUGCGCUGUUACUCACCGAAAGCUGACUUACUACAUAACCUCUGGUCAUGCUCAAAACUGCAAACAUUUUGGCAAGAGGUGGUCGCUUACGGCGGCCAGGUAAUCGGGAAACCCCUCCAACCACUAAUUGAAUGGGCGUUGUUUAGCCACACUGCACUCUAUACCCAGCUGUCGAAAUCUGAGAAAAGCCUAAUGGGCAGACUAGCUGCAGCGGCAAGAAAAACGAUCUUACAACAAUGGUUGGCUGCGGAAUCCCCAUCUAUUCUGAUAGUCAAACAAAAAUUACACCACUUGUUCCAUAUGGAUUGGUUGGAAGCAAUGACCAGAAAAGAACACAAUGCUUCAAAAUUCUUUGACACCUGGUUGUCAUACAUACUGUCACUCCCACAUCACACUAGAUAUCUUACAGUCUACACAUUUAGACGAACUACUUGGUACGAUGUGGAAACACUCAGAGAUCACCCACUUGUGAUGGAGUCACCCCACUACCUCGACAACUGGCAGCGCGAACAAGACGGGCUGGCCUUUGCACCCCCCAGGAGUCAUCAGAUAAACAGAAUGUUGGCAACGUACCCACCGAGUCCCUCUUAAAAUCUAAUACUAUAGUUAGAGCUGUAUGUUUUGUUAUUAUUGUUGAUACAUCAUCUAUACACACUGUUCAGCUUCCGCAAUAUUGGAUCUAACUGUGUAUAUCAAUGCAACGAAUGAACGUAUACUAUAUAUGUUGUUACUGAAUAAAAAACAUGUUUAAAAAAAAAAAAAAAAAA